RNAcentral lists this microRNA precursor (142 nucleotides) under Linum usitatissimum (flax). RNAcentral describes it as "miR164a stem-loop (lus-MIR164a)". Its record names the gene lus-MIR164a. The stretch from base 9 to 133 matches the Rfam family "MIR164 microRNA precursor family". The record is from miRBase by way of RNAcentral. Lineage: Eukaryota; Viridiplantae; Streptophyta; Magnoliopsida; Malpighiales; Linaceae.
UGGUGCGUGUGAGCAGGAUGGAGAAGCAGGGCACGUGCAUUACUAACUCUCCCACCCCCCAGCAGCACUUCAACCAAGAAGAAAACCGUUCUGAGUUAGUUGUUCAUGUGCCCAUCUUCCCCAUCAUGAUACCACUGCAUCG